Molecule: RNA transcript, 2024 nt
Organism: Trifolium pratense (red clover)
Lineage: Eukaryota; Viridiplantae; Streptophyta; Magnoliopsida; Fabales; Fabaceae
Exons: 7
Source: RefSeq, a predicted model, not a curated record
ACUAUCGUGAAAACACGAAAUUUCCCUUUUCCUCCUUACAUCUUCUCACCCAUUCACCACCUCUUUCAAUCGCAAAUCACCAAUUCUAUUCUAUAGGUUUCUCUGCUUCAACAUGUGAAUCACGAUUCAGCUUCAUCUUCAUCGGGUGAGUCACUACUUUCUUUUUAUGAGUUUAGUCUUUGAACAGUCAAACCCUACUCCCAAAUAUCUAAUCUGACAUUCGGCUUCCAAUUGCAAUAGAACCAGACCAUGACGAACCCUAAUCUCACGAUUCAACUUCCAAAUAGCAGUAGAACCAACCCAUGACGAACCCUAAUUUCAUGAUUCAACUUCCAAAAUAACAGUAGAUCGAGACCACGACGGACACUAUUCUCACGAUUCAGCUUCCAAUCGUAGAAAAACGUGACUAUGACGAACCCUAAUAUAGUGUUUCAGCUUCAUAUUUCGCAGAUGCAUUAAAAAAAAAAAACCUUCAUAUCGCAGACUCAUGUUAUUCUCUCAAUUCCGGCUCUCUCAGCUUUCUUCUGAUUAUGAAUAUUUGUCAUGAUUAUUAUCAUCGAAGUUGGAUAAGGCUAAUUCACCAACACUGUUGCUUUCACUGUUUCUACUACCAUUAGGCUACAGUUGAGGCGAUUGAGUUGGCACACAUAGAUUGGGACAACCUCAAGUUUGAUUUUCAACCUACUGAUUAUAUUUAUUUCAUGAAAUGUGAUCAAGGUGGAACCUUGUCUAAGGGUGAACUAAAGUAUUUUGGGAACAUUGAAUGGAAUCCUUAUAAAAUUCUUAGAGAUGAGACCACGAGAGGCGGUGUGGUGAGAACCCUUCGUCGAGACUGAGAUCGUCAUUGAGACUGAGAAUGAUAUCAAGUUGUGAUUUCACAAACGCUUCUGAUUCCCCUACCAUUGUGAACACUUCUCAGCUCCGUCGAGAUUGUGAGCAUCGUCAAGGACUCUCCACUGCGGAUUCGAAUUUGCAACAGCCUUGCAACAACGUCACUAAUCGUUCUGCUCUGAUUGCCUUAGAUGAUUUGAGACGACCACGCUUGCAACAACUCAGUUUCGCAUGUGACUCUUCUAUAUUCAAAGGUUCUUUGAUGGCACUAAUUGGUUCUAUGAUGUCAAUGCUAAUUAGGCAUAUAUCCUUGUGCAUGUUACUCAAGCUAGAGUGGAAAAUUAUCAAAAAAUACAGUUUUCUUUUUGGAGGUGCACAUGCCAGGAAUGUUUGAUUGUUUUGGUUGGGCACUUGGGAUGCUUUUUUAUUGUGGAAGAGCAUGGGCUUGUGAGGUUACAAUUUAGCUAUUGUACUAAUGUUGAUAAAGAAAGUAUGAUCAAUUUAAGAUUGCCAUUAUAUAUGUAUUUUGUUGUUAAGAGUUAUUUUGUAACUAAUACUUGGUGGUGUACUGAUAUAUACUAUUACUUGAAUAUAUAUUAUGAAGUGGACCCUAUAUGUUUUGAAAAUAUAUUUACUUGUUUGCAUCACCAUCUCAUUUGGUGGAUUGGGAACCAUUUCUAAGAUAAAGAAAGUGUGUAAGGUUAUACUAAAUUUUACUAUGAUUCUUCAUAUCAAGGUCUGAAAUUUUACUUUGGAUGAUAGGUCUGAAAAAUUGUAUCCGACUCCAUGGGGAGGCCACAACUGACAUUUUUUAAAAUAAAUAAAAAUAAAAAAUGUGUUAGGCAACGAUUAAAACGUGUUGCUAAAUAUUUUAAAAUGUUGCCUAUAAGCUCAGGGGACGCUUUAUAAAUGUAUUCAGUGUAUUAGUUAUAGGUAACGAUCACAACUUGUUGCCAAAUACUGCAACAGUUAAAAAGCGUCCCCUCAGGUGUGCUGGGCAAAACGUCCCCUAUUCCUAUAGUUUAGGCAACGCUUAUGAAUAGUGUGCCCAAAGAGCAAGACAAAACGUCCCCAUAGACAAAAGGCAACGCUCGAAUACAAGACACUUGAAAAACGUCCCCUAUUCUUUUAGGCAACGAUUUUCAUGGUUCUGGCAACAAUUUCCAGAUGUUGCCAGAGACCAUAUUUGUUGU